This 379-nucleotide unclassified non-coding RNA is filed under the name uncultured Micrococcaceae bacterium. RNAcentral's name for it is "contains 16S-23S intergenic spacer region". The record is from RNAcentral. Lineage: Bacteria; Bacillati; Actinomycetota; Actinomycetes; Micrococcales; Micrococcaceae.
UCCGAGUUGACCCCGGCAGUCUCCCAUGAGUCCCCACCAUCACGUGCUGGCAACAUGGAACGAGGGUUGCGCUCGUUGCGGGACUUAACCCAACAUCUCACGACACGAGCUGACGACAACCAUGCACCACCUGUGGACCGGCCCCGAAGGGAGGACGCAUCUCUGCGCCUGUCCGGCCCAUGUCAAGCCUUGGUAAGGUUCUUCGCGUUGCAUCGAAUUAAUCCGCAUGCUCCGCCGCUUGUGCGGGCCCCCGUCAAUUCCUUUGAGUUUUAGCCUUGCGGCCGUACUCCCCAGGCGGGGCACUUAAUGCGUUAGCUGCGGCGCGGAGGACGUGGAAUGCCCCCCACACCUAGUGCCCAACGUUUACGGCGUGGACUAC